GUAGGUGAACCUGCGGAAGGAUCAUUACCUAGAGUUUGUAGACUUCGGUCUGCUACCUCUUACCCAUGUCUUUUGAGUACCUUCGUUUCCUCGGCGGGUCCGCCCGCCGAUUGGACAACAUUCAAACCCUUUGCAGUUGCAAUCAGCGUCUGAAAAAACAUAAUAGUUACUACUUUCAACAACGGAUCUCUUGGUUCUGGCAUCGAUGAAGAACGCAGCGAAAUGCGAUAAGUAGUGUGAAUUGCAGAAUUCAGUGAAUCAUCGAAUCUUUGAACGCACAUUGCGCCCCUUGGUAUUCCAUGGGGCAUGCCUGUUCGAGCGUCAUUUGUACCUUCAAGCUCUGCUUGGUGUUGGGUGUUUGUCUCGCCUCUGCGUGUUGACUCGCCUUAAAACAAUUGGCAGCCGGCGUAUUGAUUUCGGAGCGCAGUACAUCUCGCGCUUUGCACUCAUAACGACGACGUCCAAAAGUACAUUUUUACACUCUUGACCUCGGAUCAGGUAGGGAUACCCGCUGAACUUA
Molecule: ribosomal RNA, 520 nt
Filed under: uncultured fungus
Lineage: Eukaryota; Fungi
Description: eukaryotic LSU rRNA
Rfam family: 5.8S ribosomal RNA (bases 171-324)
Source: RNAcentral